Molecule: ribosomal RNA, 1297 nt
Filed under: metagenome
Description: SSU rRNA
Rfam family: Eukaryotic small subunit ribosomal RNA
Source: RNAcentral
UAUGGGUUGUGCAAUUGGAAUGACUACAAUUUAAAGAGUUUAAGGAGGAUCAAUUGGAGGGCAAGUCUGGUGCCAGCAGCCGCGGUAAUUCCAGCUCCAAUAGGACAUAUCAAAGUUGUUGCAGUUAAAAAGCUCGUAGUUGGAUUUCUGGUGGGGUUUUUCGUGUUUGGUGUAUUUGGGGGCAACUCUGAUUCCAUUGAGCCACCCGCCAUAUUGUGGAUCCAUACAAGUAUGAAUGGUUUACUCCAUUUAUAUUUGUACCACUCAGUCACUGAGAGCAAUUGGAGUGCUCAAAGCAGGCUUGAUAGCUUUGAACAUUUUAGCUUGGAAUGACAAGAUAUGACUUUUGUUGUAUUUUGUUGGUUAUACAAGAAAAGUAAUGAUUAACAGGAACAGUUGCGGGGGUACUCGUAUUGAAAGGUCAGAGGUGAAAUUCUUGGAUUCUUUCAAGACGAACGACUGCGAAAGCAUUUACCAAGGAUGUUUUCAUUAAUCAAGAACGAAAGCUCGGGGAUCGAAGAUGAUUAGAUACCAUCGUAGUCCGACGCCAUAAACGAUGCCGACUCGGGAUUGUCUUGUUUAUUCUAAUUAAAAAACGAAUCAAGGCAGCACCGUAUGAGAAAUCAAAGUCUUUGGGUUCCGGGGGGAGUAUGGUCGCAAGGCUGAAACUUAAAGGAACUGCCGGAAGGGCACACCAGAGGUGGAGCCUGCGGUUUAAUUUGACCCAACACGGGGAAACUUACCAGGUCCAGACAUGAUGAGGAUUGACAGUUUGAAAGCACUUUCUUGAUUUCAUGGGUGGUGGUGCAUGGCCGUCCUUAGUUGGUGGAGUGAUUUGUCUGGUUGAUUCCGAUAACGAACGAGACGGGGAGAGUUAACUAGGUGAUUGGAUAACUCACGUUAUUCACACCUUCUUUGCUCGACAACUUGGUUUUACCAAGGGGAAGCGCCCCGCAAUAACAGGUCUGUGAUGCCCUUAGAUGUUCUGGGCUACACGCGCGCUACAAUGACGAAUUCAACGAGUAACUUUGUCCUUGCCCGGAAGGGUGUGGGUAAUCUUUUCAAUGUUCGUCGUGAUGGGGCUAGAUUAUUGCAAUUAUUAAUCUUCAACGAGGAAUCUCUAGUAUGUGCAAGUCAUCAGCUUGCGCGGAAUGCGUCCCUGCCCUUUGUACACACCGCCCGUCGCACCUACCGAUUGGACGAUCCGGCAAGAAGUUUGGAGUUGUGUUGUUUGCAGUAAUGUGAGCAAUGUGGCAAAGCUCUUCAAACCUUAUCGUCUAGAGGAGGGUGAAGUCGU